RNAcentral lists this ribosomal RNA (640 nucleotides) under soil fungal sp. DM2-240. Its description in RNAcentral is "eukaryotic LSU rRNA". It matches the Rfam family "Eukaryotic large subunit ribosomal RNA", at positions 142 to 811 of the family's 3401-position model. The record is from RNAcentral. Lineage: Eukaryota; Fungi.
GUUGUAAUUUGCAGAGGAUGCUUUUGGCGCGGUGCCUUCCGAGUUCCCUGGAACGGGACGCCAUAGAGGGUGAGAGCCCCGUCUGGUCGGACGCCUAGCCUGUGUAAAGCUCCUUCGACGAGUCGAGUAGUUUGGGAAUGCUGCUCUAAAUGGGAGGUAUAUGUCUUCUAAAGCUAAAUACCGGCCAGAGACCGAUAGCGCACAAGUAGAGUGAUCGAAAGAUGAAAAGCACUUUGAAAAGAGGGUUAAAUAGUACGUGAAAUUGUUGAAAGGGAAGCGCUUGUGACCAGACUUGGGCCCGGUGGAUCAUCCAGCGUUCUCGCUGGUGCACUCCGCCGGGUUCAGGCCAGCAUCAGUUCGCCGCGGGGGAAAAAGGCUUCGGGAACGUGGCUCCUACGGGAGUGUUAUAGCCCGUUGCAUAAUACCCUGGGGCGGACUGAGGUUCGCGCUCCGCAAGGAUGCUGGCGUAAUGGUCAUCAGCGACCCGUCUUGAAACACGGACCAAGGAGUCGUCUUCGUAUGCGAGUGUUCGGGUGUAAAACCCCUACGCGUAAUGAAAGUGAACGCAGGUGAGAGCUUCGGCGCAUCAUCGACCGAUCCUGAUGUUCUCGGAUGGAUUUGAGUAAGAGCAUACGGGGCC